CCGGGAAAAAUUCAGGGAAAAUUAGGGACGGCCUGCAGGCGCACUGUGAAUCAUAUUCGGAUCCCAAAAACAAGUAAGGACCCCUCACCCUAUUUCCUAUCACGGUAUUAAAGUUCAAAAUGAUAAAACGGUAUUUCUUGAAUUAACGCAUGUGUGAAAUUGCUUAAGGUUGCUAAGGGAGCCCGAGUCUAGUGUAAUUGAUGAUUUACUGUUAUUUGGCCUGUUUACAGCUUUAAAUGCAAAAUGAGGUUUGAUGUGUUCAUUUUACAGAUUUAUGUGCAUGUACUACGUUUUUAUUAAUUAUGGGUUGAAUGACUGAAAAACUGAUAUUGUAUGUUGUCUGUUGGUAUGAAUUACGAUUUGCUUGUUUAAAUGUGAAUUGAUGAUGUUGAU
This 393-nucleotide long non-coding RNA is filed under the name Carica papaya (papaya). Its description in RNAcentral is "long non-coding RNA (CPAP_LNC015132)". The record is from RNAcentral. Lineage: Eukaryota; Viridiplantae; Streptophyta; Magnoliopsida; Brassicales; Caricaceae.